Molecule: transfer RNA, 90 nt
Filed under: Zymomonas mobilis
Lineage: Bacteria; Pseudomonadati; Pseudomonadota; Alphaproteobacteria; Sphingomonadales; Zymomonadaceae
Also listed under: 9 other names
Description: tRNA-Ser
Rfam family: tRNA
About the family: Transfer RNA (tRNA) molecules are approximately 80 nucleotides in length.
Source: RNAcentral
GGAGAGGUGGUCGAGUGGUUUAAGGCAACGGUCUUGAAAACCGUCGUGCGUGGAAGCGUACCGUGGGUUCGAAUCCCACCCUCUCCGCCA